UGGAGGGCAAGUCUGGUGCCAGCAGCCGCGGUAAUUCCAGCUCCAAUAGCGUAUAUUAAAGUUGUUGCAGUUAAAAAGCUCGUAGUUGAAUUUCGGGGUUCUACCGUUGGUCGGGCUUUGUCUGUACUGGUGUGUAGAAUUUCUACCUUCUGGGGAACCAUCAUGCUAUUAAUUUAGCGUGGUGGGAAACCAGGACCUUUACCUUGAAAAAAUUAGUGUGUUCAAAGCAGGCUUAUGUCUGAAUACAUUAGCGUGGAAUAAUAGAAUAGGACGGUGGUCCUGUUUUGUUGGUUUCUGAAUCACCGUAAUGAUUAAUAGGGAUAGUUGGGGGCAUUAGUAUUCAAUUGUCAGAGGUGAAAUUCUUGGAUUUAUUGAAGACUAACAUCUGCGAAAGCAUUUGCCAAGGAUGUUUUCAUUAAUCAAGAACGAAAGUUAGGGGAUCGAAGACGAUCAGAUACCGUCGUAGUCUUAACCAUAAACUAUGCCGACUAGGGAUCGGACGAUGUUAAUUUUUCUUGACUCGUUCGGCGCCUUACGGGAAAC
RNAcentral lists this ribosomal RNA (543 nucleotides) under uncultured Glomeromycotina. Its description in RNAcentral is "SSU rRNA". It matches the Rfam family "Eukaryotic small subunit ribosomal RNA", at positions 549 to 1098 of the family's 1831-position model. Lineage: Eukaryota; Fungi; Glomeromycota. The record is from RNAcentral.